Molecule: ribosomal RNA, 497 nt
Filed under: uncultured bacterium
Lineage: Bacteria
Description: partial 16S ribosomal RNA
Rfam family: Bacterial small subunit ribosomal RNA
Source: RNAcentral
GACGAACGCUGGCGGCGUGCCUAAUACAUGCAAGUUGAGCGCUGAAGGUUGGUACUUGUACCAACUGGAUGAGCAGCGAACGGGUGAGUAACGCGUGGGGAAUCUGCCUUUGAGCGGGGGACAACAUUUGGAAACGAAUGCUAAUACCGCAUAAAAACUUUAAACACAAGUUUUAAGUUUGAAAGAUGCAAUUGCAUCACUCAAAGAUGAUCCCGCGUUGUAUUAGCUAGUUGGUGAGGUAAAGGCUCACCAAGGCGAUGAUACAUAGCCGACCUGAGAGGGUGAUCGGCCACAUUGGGACGGAGACACGGCCCAAACGCCUACGGGAGGCAGCAGUAGGGAAUCUUCGGCAAUGGACGAAAGUCUGACCGAGCAACGCCGCGUGAGUGAAGAAGGUUUUCGGAUCGUAAAACUCUGUUGGUAGAGAAGAACGUUGGUGAGAGUGGAAAGCUCAUCAAGUGACGGUAACUACCCAGAAAGGGACGGCUAACUACGUG